This is a non-coding RNA of Sceloporus undulatus (fence lizard), 707 nucleotides long. Lineage: Eukaryota; Metazoa; Chordata; Lepidosauria; Squamata; Phrynosomatidae. The record is from the annotation of a RefSeq genome assembly.
GAAUAUCUGUGCUUUACCGGAUGGUGAAUUUCCCACUGCAUACAUUAUCAUCCUGACCACUAACCACAGUCGGUGGUUUACCAUUAUUUUACCUUAAGCUGCAUUUAAAAAACAAAACAAAACACAAAAACAAACCUCUUACUAGGCAGAAGGCGUGAGCUGCAGCUCAUAAAAAUCCUCUCAUACAGUGGCAAAUGCAGAGCAAAGCCUAACUGCUGUUGAGAACUGUAUCAAACUCUAUUGAACUGUUUUGCAGUUUUCUCCUCCUUGAUUCAAGGAAAAGAAUGUUCCUUCUUUGGCCUUUUGUGGUGUUCAUCAUCUCCCUCUUAAGUUCGCUGGGCAAAGCUCAGACGAUUGAACAGCCUGGAUCAGCUACAGCAUUUGAUGGAACAAGAUACAUGCUUACCUGCACCCUUACUUCCAUUUCAUCAGAAAGGAUCCAGUGGUACAGGCAAUUCCCUGGCAGAGGGCCUCAGUAUAUUGCUGGAGCAUAUGCAGGAUUAAACGGCCAUAGUACCAAUCCAAAGAGCACCGUGCGUGUUGCAGAGAACAAGGGCUCCACUACACUUGAGCUUGAUCAUGUCACUCUGGGAGAUGCUGCAGUGUACUUCUGUGCUUUGAGUGAUACACAGUGUGUCAGGAAAGGACUGUGGCCACAUGUUAACCUCUCUCAAAGGCUGAGAGGAAGAGAAGCUACAGGAGACUGA